Molecule: long non-coding RNA, 603 nt
Filed under: Solanum tuberosum (potato)
Lineage: Eukaryota; Viridiplantae; Streptophyta; Magnoliopsida; Solanales; Solanaceae
Description: long non-coding RNA (STUB_LNC003678)
Source: RNAcentral
CAACAACAACAACAACAACAACAUACCCAGUGAAAUCCCACAAAGUGGGGUCUGGGGUGGGUAAAGUGUACGCAGACCUUACCACUACCUCGUGGAGGUAGAGAGGCUGUUUCCGGUGGACCCUCGGCUCAAAUACAUCCAAACCAAGUAAGAGAAGAGGAAACAUUAUAUAAAACAUAACAUCCAAUAAGAAAAAUAGUGCAUACUCAACAACGAAGACAAUAACAUCAAGAAAAUACUGUGAGGGGCGAAGCGCAGUAAACGACAUAUGACUAUAUGAUCACAGACAAGAACUACAAGUGCCAGGCUAGGACUACUACAAACACUACCAACCCACACCCUCGCAAAGGAAGACAACACGCUAACCCUACUAACCUUCAACCUUAAUAAUGCCCAAACCAUCUCAGUCUCACUUCCCUCAGCUUUUCCACCACAGAGGCUACUCCCACCUUCUCCCGGAUAACCUCAUUCCUAAUCUUAUCGCUCCUAGUGUGCCCACACAUCCAUCUCAACAUCCUCAUCUCCGCAACAUGCAUUUUUGAACAUGUGAGUUCUUGACUGGCCAACACUCCGCUCCAUACAACAAGGCCGGUCUAACUACCA